Molecule: ribosomal RNA, 768 nt
Filed under: Acinetobacter radioresistens
Lineage: Bacteria; Pseudomonadati; Pseudomonadota; Gammaproteobacteria; Moraxellales; Moraxellaceae
Description: bacterial SSU rRNA
Rfam family: Bacterial small subunit ribosomal RNA
Source: RNAcentral
UGCAGUCGAGCGGAUGAAGGUAGCUUGCUACUGGAUUCAGCGGCGGACGGGUGAGUAAUGCUUAGGAAUCUGCCUAUUAGUGGGGGACAACGUUCCGAAAGGGGCGCUAAUACCGCAUACGUCCUACGGGAGAAAGCAGGGGACCUUUGGGCCUUGCGCUAAUAGAUGAGCCUAAGUCGGAUUAGCUAGUUGGUAGGGUAAAGGCCUACCAAGGCGACGAUCUGUAGCGGGUCUGAGAGGAUGAUCCGCCACACUGGGACUGAGACACGGCCCAGACUCCUACGGGAGGCAGCAGUGGGGAAUAUUGGACAAUGGGGGGAACCCUGAUCCAGCCAUGCCGCGUGUGUGAAGAAGGCCUUUUGGUUGUAAAGCACUUUAAGCGAGGAGGAGGCUACCUAGAUUAAUACUUUAGGAUAGUGGACGUUACUCGCAGAAUAAGCACCGGCUAACUCUGUGCCAGCAGCCGCGGUAAUACAGAGGGUGCGAGCGUUAAUCGGAUUUACUGGGCGUAAAGCGUGCGUAGGCGGCCAAUUAAGUCAAAUGUGAAAUCCCCGAGCUUAACUUGGGAAUUGCAUUCGAUACUGGUUGGCUAGAGUAUGGGAGAGGAUGGUAGAAUUCCAGGUGUAGCGGUGAAAUGCGUAGAGAUCUGGAGGAAUACCGAUGGCGAAGGCAGCCAUCUGGCCUAAUACUGACGCUGAGGUACGAAAGCAUGGGGAGCAAACAGGAUUAGAUACCCUGGUAGUCCAUGCCGUAAACGAUGUCUACUAG